GGGGGGGAAGAAAGCAAUUUUAAACCAAGUUCCAGCACUGAGCAAUCAAUAGGGUACAAAAAAAAAGAAGAAAGGCUCCUGGCCUCCUUCACCACAGUCGGAAAACUCUUCUCUUUGUUUUCUGUCUCACAAGACUCGUCUACCGAUGGUGUAAGAAGCUAAGCUGCAUGAUCUAAAGUGAACAGAAACCAGGGACUGGCAGGUACAUCGGUCUGAAUUAAUCAACUGUAACAAAAUGAACAUACAGUGAAGUCCAGGUAUGUUGGUAACAGAGGGCCCUGAGGAAGGUGUUGCUAGAAAAGUGAUGGUCAGAGAUGGAAGGCUUGGACUUUCCCUUGAUCGUUCAAAAUUGCAGCAUUUGACCCAGAAAAGUUUAACGUGAUUAGCCCUGAGCCCUGGAUGUCUGGGGCAUGUAUGUAUUAAGCAGUACACACUGCUCCAGGGCUAUCCGUCACUAACUCUGCAUGCAGGUGCUCCUACUGCUCAGUAGGUGUGAGGGAGUUUGCUCUGUUCCGACCGAGGAGGAAGCUUUCCUACGCUUGCAGUGCAAGAAGCACUGUGCUGUGCACAAACUUUAUUCCCUGCGCGCGCAAAGAGGAAACGUGAGAAACGCUGCCAUCUCCUGCUCAGAAUUGAUAGAGCCCUUAGAUGAGCAUGGUGCUACUUGGAAGCAGAGUUCCAAGACUUCAGUUUGUCCCCUCAGUCAGGGGCUUCAACCCAGAUAACCAGGAGGAUGCUACAACUACAAGGAAUGCCUGGUGAGCCCAGUGCUGUGUGACCUGGUCAGGAAGAUCACAUGCAACUCACUGGCAGACCAAGGAAGACAGACUGCUGUAACAGACAGACUGUUUUAUGCCUGGGACAAUGGCUGUGCCCUAGAUGUUCUUCCAUGGUCUGAUGCAAAGUGGUUUCUCUGGGAUGCCUUGGAGAGGCCAGAAAAAGUACACCAGCAUUGAGUUGCCACUCAACAUCUCCCUCCUCAUCUGCUGAAUGCAGGGACUUCUCUCCGUAAUUUUGGGCUUCUUCA
Struthio camelus australis is the source of this 1027-nucleotide non-coding RNA. NCBI's taxonomy places the organism in Eukaryota, Metazoa, Chordata, Aves, Struthioniformes, Struthionidae. The record is from RefSeq and is a predicted model, not a curated record.